This 297-nucleotide ribosomal RNA is filed under the name Triticum aestivum (bread wheat). RNAcentral describes it as "partial small subunit ribosomal RNA". The record is from RNAcentral. Lineage: Eukaryota; Viridiplantae; Streptophyta; Magnoliopsida; Poales; Poaceae.
AUGCCUCGGAAGCAUUUGAGAGAUGGCAACGCAGCCUAUGACACGGGGAGCUCGCUGCACGACUCCUACGAGCUGGCCUCCCUCAACAGGAUCCUGGACCGGCACCUCGCUGUCGCUGGCCCGCCGUCCCCUCGUGAGUCCCGGCGGGAGGGGAUCACUCCCACUGAAGAGGGAAAGAACCAGCAGGUCGUGGCGUUCAGGGCCCGCGGGAACAGGAAGGUGACUUGCUUUCGGGCCCACCUGUCAGUGGCCCGACUGCACCCUGCAGUACGUCAGAGGAGACUCGUCCGACGCUGA